UACGUAGGGGGCUAGCGUUGCUCGGAAUUACUGGGCGUAAAGCGCACGUAGGCGGCUUUCUAAGUCGGGGGUGAAAUCCUGGAGCUCAACUCCAGAACUGCCUUCGAUACUGGAGAGCUCGAGUCCGGGAGAGGUGAGUGGAACUGCGAGUGUAGAGGUGAAAUUCGUGGAUAUUCGCAGGAACACCAGUGGCGAAGGCGGCUCACUGGCCCGGUACUGACGCUGAGGUGCGAAAGCGUGGGGAGCAAACAGG
Molecule: ribosomal RNA, 253 nt
Filed under: uncultured bacterium
Lineage: Bacteria
Description: partial 16S ribosomal RNA
Rfam family: Bacterial small subunit ribosomal RNA
Source: RNAcentral